This is a long non-coding RNA of Hyla sarda, 464 nucleotides long. RefSeq lists it as uncharacterized. The record is from RefSeq and is a predicted model, not a curated record. The transcript has 3 exons. NCBI's taxonomy places the organism in Eukaryota, Metazoa, Chordata, Amphibia, Anura, Hylidae.
CUCCCCCACAGUUACUAGGAAUUAGAAACUUGUACUUUGCGGUUUCCUGAAUAGCUGAGUCUAUAUUUACUUCAGGACUUGGCACCAGAUCUGACUUUCUGGCAUUGUGAUUAAAUGACUCCAGAAGAUAAAUGUUGACUUUCCCUCAUAUGUCUCAGCUAAUGUUAUGAAGCUGACAUCUGCUGCUCGCGGGAGCACAAGACUAGACGGCAUGCCUACACUAAAUCAAUCUCCCAUCUACAACAGUGUAAAAUAAUUAGAUGUAAUCACAAGAUGUUGUCUUCAUUGUAAAGUGAAAUCUGGCAACAGAGGCCUGGAGAGAAAGAUUCGGCACGGCAUCAAAGGCCAGGUCAUGUUUUGCCAAGAUGACACAUACAGACGGUAUCUGACACCAGAGGGGCGGCUGACCUCCGCCACAUGUUUGUUUUGCUUUGGGCUGUAAAUUAAAGUCUCUUCUGUGGACC